GACGAACGCUGGCGGCGUGCCUAAUACAUGCAAGUUGAGCGCUGAAGGUUGGUACUUGUACCAACUGGAUGAGCAGCGAACGGGUGAGUAACGCGUGGGGAAUCUGCCUUUGAGCGGGGGACAACAUUUGGAAACGAAUGCUAAUACCGCAUAAAAACUUUAAACACAAGUUUUAAGUUUGAAAGAUGCAAUUGCAUCACUCAAAGAUGAUCCCGCGUUGUAUUAGCUAGUUGGUGAGGUAAAGGCUCACCAAGGCGAUGAUACAUAGCCGACCUGAGAGGGUGAUCGGCCACAUUGGGACUGAGACACGGCCCAAACUCCUACGGGAGGCAGCAGUAGGGAAUCUUCGGAAAUGGACGAAAGUCUGACCGAGCAACGCCGCGUGAGUGAAGAAGGUUUUCGGAUCGUAAAACUCUGUUGGUAGAGAAGAAAGUUGGUGAGAGUGGAAAGCUCAUCAAGUGACGGUAACUACACAGAAAGGGACGGCUAACUACGUG
Molecule: ribosomal RNA, 497 nt
Filed under: uncultured bacterium
Lineage: Bacteria
Description: partial 16S ribosomal RNA
Rfam family: Bacterial small subunit ribosomal RNA
Source: RNAcentral